CACUCCAAAGUUCUGGAUCCGCUAGUGGUCUAUAGUACAGUCAAAAGCAUUACAUUCGCCUAUCUUGGCUUAGAAUUAGAUCAAAUAAUAAAGCGUUUUUUUUUUAUUUUGUUUCUUGUUGCAUUUUUUAUUUUCUUUUUCAACGAGAUUAAACAGCCUUGUUUCUAAGGAACUCUUUUGCGUUACGUCACGUAUUAUUGAAGUGUAAACAUCAAUGCCAUCACUAUCGACUAUGAGACUCUAUGAGUAGUAUGAAAAUUGAGUAGGCAACAUCUAUAUCAAUUAUAUUGUACUGUAAUAAUUAUAUUUAAAUCUAAGUAUUUGAUAAUAGAUUUAAUUGAAAGGCUAAAUUUUUGGUUUUUUCAUAAUCGAGAAUGGCUACAUCUGGAGUUGAUUGCUUCAGCAAAACAAUACUUAAACUAAACCACCUAAUUGGUGAUGACCUGGUACUAUAUUUGCUGGAAACAGCAGGCUCCAAAGGACUGACAACAACGGAACUGACUGGUAUGAUCUGGUCUGGACUUAAACAAAUGAUUGUUGAUCCGCAAAAUGUUAUAAAACAAAGAAUUAGUACCAUCCUUGAUGUACUUGAAGAACAGGAAGUAAUUACCCAGUACAGAAGAAGGUUCUGUUUGGAUGGUGAACAAGUUCUGAAACUGACUGUAGACACCCUUGUUGAAUCUUCAACUAUUCUAUUUUUGAUUGGAACAAGUGAAAGGGGACUAACCAUACACCAAAUUUCCAGAGAGGUUUGGAACGUAUGGAAUUCAGUCUUGAAAGGAAAGAAGAACCAAGUGUUUGCCAAAGCUAUUGACAAGGUUAAUGAAUUAGCACAAGACACCCUCAUAUUCAAAGAAAGAAGCCAUUUUUUUUUACUAUAGCCAUACAUUCCUGUUAUGUAUACAAACAAUUCCUUCCCUCAGUGUAACAGAGAUAGACUUCACAUUUUUCACACAUAUUAUUUGUUUUUUGGCUACACAGUUGACAAUCAUCUUUUUUGUGGAGAAAGUGGUGGUAACCAUCUGUUCUAACAUCUGUUUCUGGCAUGGCUUUUCUUGCAGACUUUUUUUUCAAAGCAGGUUAGAUCUAUAGUAGUUUAUUUAUUUCGGAUAUUACAUGAAUUCGGACAUUCGCUGUUUUUUGUGGUCAUUAAAUAAUUAUUUUAAUAUGUAUUAUAAAACAAGCGCGCUGUAUAAUGUGCUUGUCCAUUUUCCAAUGAAUCUGACCCAUUUUCCUUCCAUUUAGCUGUCUUUUUAUGUAAGAAAAACGAAUUUCAAAUUUGUUAGUCAUGUUGUUGUUUUUUCCUAUGUUACCCGGAUGACUUUACCUCUUCCUAGAGUUAAGACUAUAUUUUUUGAUUGGCUAAGUCUAUACUAAUGAGCCCGGCAAUAUCUAUUCUGUUUUUGGAGCUAAUUUAUUUGAUUGAUAAGCCAAGUUUUCUAAUUCCAUACCAAAAAAAAAUGAAUACGGUGUCCGAAUUAAAUUACGAUUUUCUUGCCAAAAUUUAUUUCGGACAGCCAGUUUUGGACAUCAAUAAAAAUGAUCUUAUAUUAUA
Molecule: long non-coding RNA, 1555 nt
Organism: Biomphalaria glabrata
Lineage: Eukaryota; Metazoa; Mollusca; Gastropoda; Planorbidae
Exons: 2
Source: RefSeq, a predicted model, not a curated record